UACGGGGGGAGCAAGCGUUGUUCGGAAUUACUGGGCGUAAAGCGCGCGCAGGCGGCCCUUUAAGUCUACCCGUGAAAUGCCGGAGCUCAACUCCGUGCACGCCGGGGGAUACUGGAGGGCUGGAGACGAGUAGAGGCAAGCGGAAUUCCGGGUGUAGCGGUGGAAUGCGUAGAGAUCCGGAAGAACACCGGAGGCGAAGGCGGCUUGCUGGGCUUGGUCUGACGCUGAGGCGCGAAAGCGUGGGGAGCGAACAGG
This 255-nucleotide ribosomal RNA is filed under the name uncultured bacterium. RNAcentral's name for it is "partial 16S ribosomal RNA". It matches the Rfam family "Bacterial small subunit ribosomal RNA", at positions 524 to 776 of the family's 1533-position model. The record is from RNAcentral.